ACCAGACUCCUACGGGAGGCAGCAGUGGGGAAUAUUGCACAAUGGGGGAAACCCUGAUGCAGCAACGCCGCGUGAGUGAAGAAGUAUUUCGGUAUGUAAAGCUCUAUCAGCAGGGAAGAAAAUGACAGUACCUGACUAAGAAGCCCCGGCUAACUACGUGCCAGCAGCCGCGGUAAUACGUGGGGGGCAAGCGUUAUCCGGAUUUACUGGGUGUAAAGGGAGCGUAGACGGUAGAGCAAGUCUGAAGUGAAAGCCCGCGGCUCAACUGCGGGACUGCUUUGGAAACUGUUCAACUGGAGUGCUGGAGAGGUAAGCGGAAUUCCUAGUGUAGCGGUGAAAUGCGUAGAUAUUAGGAGGAACACCAGUGGCGAAGGCGGCUUACUGGACAGUAACUGACGUUGAGGCUCGAAAGCGCGGGGAGCAAACAGGAUUAGAUACCCUUGUA
RNAcentral lists this ribosomal RNA (445 nucleotides) under uncultured bacterium. Its description in RNAcentral is "bacterial SSU rRNA". It matches the Rfam family "Bacterial small subunit ribosomal RNA", at positions 330 to 792 of the family's 1533-position model. The record is from RNAcentral.